This 22-nucleotide non-coding RNA is filed under the name Arabidopsis thaliana (thale cress). Lineage: Eukaryota; Viridiplantae; Streptophyta; Magnoliopsida; Brassicales; Brassicaceae. The record is from RNAcentral.
UAUAGGGUGCCUUAGACAACGG